RNAcentral lists this transfer RNA (67 nucleotides) under Therea olegrandjeani. Its description in RNAcentral is "tRNA-Pro". Lineage: Eukaryota; Metazoa; Arthropoda; Insecta; Blattodea; Corydiidae. The record is from RNAcentral.
CAGGGAAUAGUUUAUUAGAAUAUUAAUUUUGGGGAUUAAUGGAGAGUAAUUAUUUAUUCUUCUCUGA